CUACGGGUGGCUGCAGUGGGGAAUAUUGCACAAUGGGCGCAAGCCUGAUGCGGCCAUGCCGCGUGUAUGAAGAAGGCCUUCGGGUUGUAAAGUACUUUCAGCGGGGAGGAAGGGAGUAAAGUUAAUACCUUUGCUCAUUGACGUUGCCCGCAGAAGAAGCACCGGCUAACUCCGUGCCAGCAGCCGCGGUAAUACGGAGGGUGCAAGCGUUAAUCGGAAUUACUGGGCGUAAAGCGCACGCAGGCGGUUUGUUAAGUCAGAGGUGAAAUCCCCGGGCUCAACCUGGGAACUGCAUCUGAUACUGGCAGGCUUGAGUCUCGUAGAGGGGGGUAGAAUUCCAGGUGUAGCGGUGAAAUGCGUAGAGAUCUGGAGGAAUACCGGUGGCGAAGGCGGCCCCCUGGACGAAGACUGACGCUCAGGUGCGAAAGCGUGGGGAGCAAACAGGAUUAGAUACCCGUGUAGUC
This 464-nucleotide ribosomal RNA is filed under the name uncultured bacterium. RNAcentral's name for it is "partial 16S ribosomal RNA". It matches the Rfam family "Bacterial small subunit ribosomal RNA", at positions 339 to 795 of the family's 1533-position model. The record is from RNAcentral.